UACGUAGGGUGCAAGCGUUGUCCGGAAUUAUUGGGCGUAAAGAGCUCGUAGGUGGCCUGUCGCGUCGGCUGUGAAAACUCGGGGCUCAACUCCGAGCUUGCAGUCGAUACGGGCAGGCUAGAGUUCGGCAGGGGAGACUGGAAUUCCUGGUGUAGCGGUGAAAUGCGCAGAUAUCAGGAGGAACACCGGUGGCGAAGGCGGGUCUCUGGGCCGAUACUGACACUGAGGAGCGAAAGCGUGGGGAGCGAACCGG
This 253-nucleotide ribosomal RNA is filed under the name uncultured bacterium. Its description in RNAcentral is "partial 16S ribosomal RNA". It matches the Rfam family "Bacterial small subunit ribosomal RNA", at positions 524 to 776 of the family's 1533-position model. The record is from RNAcentral.